UUGCCAUUAUUUACUUUUUUAUUUUUAUCCUUUUAAUUAAAGGAAAAAAUAACAGGAUAUAUUAUAGUAACCCACUUUGACUUUUCAUUACCUCGAUUUAAAGCCCUGUAUUACUCUCACCAUCUGGUUUUAACUGAUGUUCCCCUAUUCUGUUUUGCUGGAUAGUAUCAGGUUCGAAAAUUUAGGCAUCAGCUGUGAAGAUAAUGAGACUCAUUAUAAUGCCCAUUCUCAUUGACUUUUAUCUACUUUUGAAGACCUACAAUGUCUCCAAUGUUUUGGUUUUGUCGGUUUUAUUCUUUACUGUUUUGUUCAAUUGUAUUAUAACUAACGAUAUAGGCAAUUCUAUUAGAGAUAGCGGGAGGCAUUAUGGUAACCAUUGUUGAUCACCUUGUAUUAUGUUUUCACACUAUCUAUUAUGUCCACCCUUUUGACUUGACCGAUUGUGUUCUGUUAUGUCACAUUUGGUUUUACUCUCUUCCAAAAAAGUAAUAAGAACCGUGGGAGCAAUGAAACCCAAAUUGUACAAAAGAGAGGAAAAGAAAGUGCUCUAAACUAUAUAACUGCAUGUAUAUUUAAGUGUAUAAGAUAGAAAAUGAUAUCAGAGUUUUAUUGGAUCAUUGAACAGAACUGUUUGCAGUAUCAUUGAUGGAAUGUCCACUUUACAAGCUUUAAUUUUGUGACUUGAACAAUUAUUUCUAAGAUGACAAUAUGUAAUCCAUUAACUAGUGAUUUCCUACUGUUCAUUUUUUUUUCUGCAAAUCUGUAUAACUUGUACCCUUUCUCUGCUUUUUUUUCUUUUCUCCUUAAAUAGAAUUAAAAAAUAAAUAAAUAAAAAUUAAAAAAAACUAUUGUGCCCAAUGUGACUGGUGAUUAUAGAGAUAAAAUACAAGUUCUUGCAUGUGCUGUGGAUAUCUGGGAGACUAUGCCGCAAAAUUACUUUUGUUACCUAUGAAAAAGCCUUUUUUUUUGUUAAGUAUGUAAUUUCAGUAAAACAGUGACCUGCCAUGUGGGCAAUGGCCCACCCUGGGACAAAAAAAAAGCAGUGUGCCAUCCGGAUAAAACCUGCCUCUGAUCCAGAAUGCCAAAACCAUGUUUUCCUUUUGUCCCACCCCAAUUGGACAACCAGAGAUGAGGAGGUUCCUUAUCGGUAUCGCCAGUUCUUCUCAGUAGCCAUUAGGGCACCCCAGAAAACCCACCAAUUUGCCCAAGAGAGCAGAGGUGAGGCAAUUGGCUCAACAGAGACUUAUUAGUCUCCCUCGGGGUUUUUUGAAAAGAGUGCAAAAGCCCUAUCACAUUUAUACACCAGUAGUGGCUAAAAAUGCAAGGGCCAUUAAUAUUGCCUUUGUAACCCAGUCGGCCACUGAUAUUAAGCAAAAAUUGCAAAAGUUUGAGAGAUUUGAGGAAAUGCCCUUCAAUCAGUUAUCAGAGGUUGCUUAAAAGAUAUUUGACAACCGGGAGGACCCUAAAGACCAGGCUUAAGAGGUUUCUGCUGGGCAGAAAAACUGCAUUGGUUGUUGGACUUUCCAUAAAAAAAUAAAAAUAAAUGACUCUUUCCUCCCAGCAGAUGCAAGCCAUCCAACAGAUUCCAGUCCCUGUGACUAAAAACCGAGUGCAAAAAUUUCGAGGAGCCAUAGGACUGAUGCAGAGUUUGGGACCCUGGCAGAGGCCUGUUGCCUAUCUUUCCAAGAAACUUGAUUAUGUGGCAGCCAGAUGGCCACCUUGUCUGUGGGUGUUUUCCUCGGUAGUCAUCCUGAUAGAGGAGACACAAAAACUGACUUGUGGACCAAAAUUCUUAAUUGUCUCCUCCUAUUCGCUGGAGACUCUCAUCAAGCCUCCACCAGACCAAUGGCUGCCCAACUCCCAAGUCAUGCAUUAUCAGGCAUUACUUCUAGAUCUGACUACCAUCAGUUUCAAGGGGACAGCGGCUUCAAACCCUGCUACUCUGCUGCCUGAUGAUGCCCCUCCUUGCCCCUCCACAUCUGUAUUGGGGACCAGACUUGACAGAUAAGCCACUAUUCAGAGUUCCUUUGUAUUUCUCCGAUGGAAGCAGUUAAAUUUAUCCAGCCCACUGAGAGGACAAACACCCUGCUGUAGAGCCUGAGUCGCCGGUGCUCAUCAACAGGCUUCACCAUGGAUCUCUUGAGCCAUUGACAAGGUCCCUACAUUGUAGUCCUCAGCACUCCAACUGCUAUCAAAGUAGCCAGAAAGCCUACCUCGAUGCAUCAUUCCCACUUCAAGCAGGUCCUGGCUUCCAAAGGCGAUCAACCUACAGAUAAGUGGACUGCCAUUCCCUCCAAGGACUCUUUAAAGCUCAAGAUUGCCAAAUGUAACUAAUAAUCUUAUGUUCUCCCUUAUGGAGACCCCAAGGAGGCCUCUAUCUGGCUUUUAAAAAAUUGUUAAUUAUGUGACAAAACAGUGAAUUUAAAUGUUGGUUUUCUUUCUCCUUUUGGUUAACAGCUUUAAUAAUGACAGCUGCAAGAACUUUGUUAAUCUUCCUAUUGGGCCUUGUAUUAUACACAGAUUAGUAAACUAUGUCAAAGGUUCAAAUUAUACAGCUUAUGAUUUUAAAGACGCAAGGUUAUAAACAGGUACCUAUGUCUGAAAACCCCAUGAGCCAAUGAUUUGGUGCACUGACUAAAAUCAGUGGGGAAAGCUGUACACUAGCUAAAAGAGCUUUGUUAUGUUUGUAUUAAGCCAAAGUACCUGUAAUGCCGCCUACUGUUUUGUAUGCAUUUUCCCCCCUCUGGGUGACCUAACUGAUAUGUUAAUCAAUCCUCCCUUCUGUAAAAAAUUGUAAAUCCCGGGAACCUAACCUAAUUGAUAUGUUAACCAUUGUUGCCCUCUAAUAAUAACAGAUGUGGUGCUAAAAUCAGCUGACAAAGAAUUAACUAAUGCUAGACUACUCUGUCCUCUGCUAAGGAAAACAUUUCCUUAGCAGAUUUCCUGAUCCACCCCCAUAACCCCUUUACUUUGUAAACUCUGCUCUCUACAAGAGACUAGAAAGCUUUAAGGAGGACACACAGCUUUUGCAAAUUCCAACUGCACUGUGUUACAGGGCCCAGGAUAAAAUAAAUCAGCACUGCUUUUUGAAAAUAAAAACAUGUCUUGCCCAUUUUUGAACUUGAGUUUAGGCUUUGGGGGGCUUGUUUGUGGAUUACAAGAUUUAAUGGCAUAUUUUUAUUAUUUUACUCUUUCACAUGUUAUAUUAGUUGUUAAAGUUACUGGUAUUCCUUGCUUAACUAUAUUUAGACAAUAGCACCACAGAUAAUAAUAGAACACCCUCAACAGUCUUCAAUAUAAAUUUCUAUUAAAUGGUUCUCUUAAAUGAAAUCUAGUUCAGACUUAGAAAACUUACAUGCCUACAAUAAAACAUGGGACUCGUUCCACCAUUUAAGAUGCACUAGGCUGGUGGCCAUGCUUCCGGACUUGAAGGACAGGUUUCACUGAGACAGACUGGUUCUGAUCCUCCUUUAUCCUCCAGAGGAAUGUCAAGCCUGUUCUGCUUCAGUUUCCUUUGUUUCACUUUACCUCUUACUCUCUUCCCACUUUACAUUUUCCUAAUAAAGGCAUAUAAAAGUGGGAAAAACUCUAGAUUAUUCCAACCUUUUCCUUUUGAGUUAAGCCCAUAGAAAAUGAGCAUUUGCUAAUGCCAAGAACAGGGAAGUCAUCUUAGAUGAGGGACACAUACCCCAUCUCUGAAUCAGAUGAGACAUCAGAAUUGUGCCCAUUCAGGAGAAUACACAUGAAAGCUGUGUCCCAGCUCAGUGUUCUGGGCAAAUCUCCUUUGGAAAUUAAACCUGAGACACAGUGGGGAGAACCAGUUUCCAUGUGGCAAUGGAAGCAGCUAUCCUUAAAAGCAGCACACAUAGGGGACCUAAACCUAUUUAGAAUAAGGAGACUUUCCAACCUCUCAAAUUAUGGACUUAAAAACCUUUAUUAUAAAUUGAUAAAGAAGUAGGUAAUGAUCUUGCUCAGUCUUUUAAUUAUCCCUCAUAGAAUUUUGACACAAAGUGGUCACUGUGCCAGCUAAUUAUCCUUAUAGCAACUGCCACCCUCAAAAUCAGAGGCUAGCUUUCCCCAGCAUCUGUUUGGUGAAUCCCCAUGGAAGCCAGUGGCCAAUGGAGUCAACACAAUGUUGACCAGACAGGCAGCUGGAUUCCUUUUUGCAGACUGAUGUCUGGUUAUCUGAGGCAAUAGAAACUGAGAACUGAGGGUUCCUGGCCAGAGCAACACCCUGGUUGUCACCCAACAUUUCCUCAAUGGACAUUUGCUCAUGACCACUUAAAAUCUCCCCUUUUCUAUCAUUCUUAUUUCUCUGCUAGUAGACUAAAAACAUUCUAAACUUUUCAAUAGAUCUUCAGAUCACUUAAACUACCCGUCCCUUCAGAGAUUAUACUGAGGUAGCUUGCAAUGAUUGCUUACAUUCCAUAGCAGCUAGUAGGGAAAUGAUUUACCUAUGUUAAUUAAAAGUAAAUAGACUUGAGCAAUUAUUUCUAAGAUGACAAUGUGUAAUCUAUUAUCUAGUGAUUUCUAUUUUUUUGAAAUUCUGUGUUACUUGGACUCUUUUUCACUUUUUUCUUUUCUCUUUAAAUAAAAGUUUUUUCUUUUGUCUUUAAAUAAAAUUUUUAAAAAUGUAA
Molecule: long non-coding RNA, 4637 nt
Organism: Cavia porcellus (domestic guinea pig)
Lineage: Eukaryota; Metazoa; Chordata; Mammalia; Rodentia; Caviidae
Exons: 2
Source: RefSeq, a predicted model, not a curated record